GUAUACCUGGAAGACAAGAAAAAAUAAAACCAACAGCGUUUAGGUACAUUUACAAGAAACAAAAAAAGGAAGGAAGGAAGGAAGGAAGGAAGGAAGGAAGGAAGCUGUAAAAGUACAGGAUUCUUCUCCAGUAACAGGCUGAAAGUCAAUAUAUAAAUAGUAAUCUGUUUUCCUUUGGAGACAGAGGGAAGAUGAUAUGCCUAAUACACCAUGGGAGUUAAAACAGCAAUACAUUGAAUACAUCGGCCCUGAUUCAACUAACCUGGUGUGUUAACAAAAGCCAUCACAACGGCUCCCUUUAGUGCUGUGUGGACAUUUCUCUUCCCAAAUCCACGCUGGAAAGCCAGGUAAACCCCAAGAACAACAUGAGGAAGGAGGAGGGGGGAUUUUCCGUCUUGCAGCAAUGAAUGCUUGCACACACAGAAUGAACAGAAGAGCGCAAGUUGAAUUCCUCCCACAGUAAGCCACUACAACAGGCCUAGCCUAGUGCACAGUAAUUGAUUUCAUAUAUUUGUUGCCAUUUUAAACUGUUUUAUAUAUAGUUGUUUUUAUAUAUGCAAUUGUUUAAACUGUUUUAUAUAUGUUUUAUUGUACUGCAAAUCACUCCAGGAUGCCUUUUCAGUAGCAAUUCAUAAAUGCAAACAACAACAACCAGAUAUGAUUCUAGGCAUAUGGAAGCUAACUUAUCUUUAAAAAGGCACCCCAAUGUAGUGAUUACUACAUACAGUAGCUAGCAGAGUUCAAAAAAUGUGUUUAGGUAUUCCCUCCUGUUCUGUAACAAAAAAUAACCCAAUAUAUGAAAGCAAACUGCAUGCAAAUACUUAAAAGUCAGAUUCGGGGGGGGUAACCCCCCAUGAAUUUCUAAACAAAUAUUCAGGGCACAGUUCGAAAUAUACUUACUAAGGAGAAAGAUCUAGUCAACACGGCAGGACUUAUUAUUAAGUAAACAUAGUCACUGCUGUAUAGUUUCAAACCCACUGUACACGUGCAGGCUGGCUUGGAUCGAUACUAAAUUAGUCUGUUCAAAUUGUAAUCAAUAUGACUUAAAUCCCAUUGCUUUCAAUGGUAAUCAAGCGCAACUAACCUAGUCUGGCUCCAGCCCAAUGUUUGGGAAACUGAGCCUUUUAGCAAGGUUGACUCAAGUGUACAAGGCUGUGUCAAGAGCAGGAGGGUUGAACACCUAUAUGUAUCAUGAGUUAUGCAGCAGAAAAGAAGGGAAGAAAACUUUAGGAACUUUAGGAAUUAUUUAUAUAAUUCAGCAGUGGAAACCUGUGGCCAAUGGCUGUAAAUGAUUAGAGAUGUAGCCUAGCAACACAAACUGCAGGCUCCCUCUGCUCAUUCAUGUAAGGCUUAGCUAUAGUUUAGCAUUGCAUCCAAAAUGGGCUAGCUUUUCUCCAGCUAAUAUUAUCCUCCAAUGCUAUGUCCUUUGGGAAAGCAUCUCAGGGGCCAUAGAGUGUUUCAGACCUCCCACUCCAAGGGUGGAGAGAGAGAUUUGACUCCAGA
Podarcis raffonei (Aeolian wall lizard) is the source of this 1503-nucleotide long non-coding RNA. RefSeq lists it as uncharacterized. The record is from RefSeq and is a predicted model, not a curated record. NCBI's taxonomy places the organism in Eukaryota, Metazoa, Chordata, Lepidosauria, Squamata, Lacertidae. The transcript has 2 exons.